Lycium barbarum (goji berry) is the source of this 494-nucleotide long non-coding RNA. RefSeq lists it as uncharacterized. The record is from RefSeq and is a predicted model, not a curated record. Lineage: Eukaryota; Viridiplantae; Streptophyta; Magnoliopsida; Solanales; Solanaceae. The transcript is spliced from 3 exons.
AAGACCCUAGGGAUCUUUUGUAAAGAAAAAAGAAGGGAGGCCGCUAGGGAGCAAAACCCUAGCGCCGCCUCCUAUUCACCACCUAACCCCCGCCCUUUUUACAGUCCCGUCCCAUCUUAAACAACUGGUGGUGUGAAGAGAGAAGGCAAAACAUUCAGUGCAUCGUCCUCCUCUCCAGAAAAUUGGGCCAAACGAACCUUUAAUGUUGGGAGUUGGAGCAUAAAGGCUUCCUAAUCCAUCGCUUGUGCCUCGGUUGCACCCACAAAAGGUCAAGACCAGCCCCUUGUUGGACCAAAGGCCUAAUAGGAUCUUUAUGCAAUUAAGAUCUAGUCCGAGAAGAAAAAAAUAAUAAUAGCGAGGCGCGCAGAAGGCCCAGCCAUGGGUGAAAAUGGCCACUAGGGGCUUGGUACGCCCCUAGUUUAAAUUGAUUUCCAUAUAUGUAUGAUCCUAUAUGUAUGUAAUUAUGUGUAUGCAACUCAUAUUAUAGUGGAAAA